This is a long non-coding RNA of Patella vulgata (common limpet), 410 nucleotides long. RefSeq lists it as uncharacterized. NCBI's taxonomy places the organism in Eukaryota, Metazoa, Mollusca, Gastropoda, Patellidae. The transcript is spliced from 3 exons. The record is from RefSeq and is a predicted model, not a curated record.
UUACAUCCUGAUGAUGAAUAAAUGUUAAAGGAAGGUGUCAUACAAAUAAAUAUUCUACGAGCAGUCUUUUGUCAAUAUCGUAACGACGAAAUUGAAUUAAAUCACAUGGUUGUCUUCUGUUACAUCCUAUUUGAUUAGAGUCACGUGGAUUCAGAGCACCAAGAAGAUGUCUCAGUUCAAAAAUGAAAAUUAAAUGCCAAAAUGUGACGAAAUGACAGUGCUGCUCAAUAAGAUGGUGAAAUAACAGAAAUGGUGGCAAGGACCACUUCCUUGCUUUACGACUGUUGGUUCAGAGUGAUCUGGGAUGGGGGUUUUAGACUGUGAAAUAAAUAAUCAAGGAAAUACCAACCAAAGCGUGCACUAAUUCACAAUCUUAACUUGGUGGCAUAAAAAAUUAAAGCGAAAGAACA